Molecule: unclassified non-coding RNA, 387 nt
Filed under: Mucor mucedo
Lineage: Eukaryota; Fungi; Mucoromycota; Mucoromycetes; Mucorales; Mucoraceae
Description: RNase P RNA
Source: RNAcentral
UCUUAGGAGCUAUAAUAGUUAACCAAAUUAUAUUUUGGAGGAAAGUCCGGGGCUUAAAAUUUAAACCUAGGAUGGACGCCCCGUACCUCAGGUACGGAGUGAAUUCGCCCUGGUAUUAUAAAAUUUGAUAAAUCAUAAUGUAAAAACAUCUAAUGAGAAUUAGGGUAAUAGAAAGAAAUACACCAUUUAUUUUAUAUUACUGAUAUAAAAUAAAUGGUUUCGGCGGGCCCUUCUAUCAGUGUGCUUAACCGGUACCGCGCGCUCAUCUUAGCGCGCGGCGAUGGUAGAGUAAUUUAACCUAUGAGAAGCCUUUUAUUUAAUAAAUAUUAUUUAUUGAAUAUAGAUACAUUAACUUAAUAACAGAAUCCGGCUUAUUUAUCUCUAAGA